CUAGUGAGUGUGUGUAUGUCUGCUAGUGUGUGUGUGGAUGUCUGUUAGUGUGUAUGUUAGUGUGUGUAUGUAUGUUAGUGUGUGUAUGUUAGUGUGUGUGUGUGUGUCUGUUAGUGUGUGUAUGUUAGUGUGUGUGUGUGGAUGUGUGUGUGUGUGGAUGUUAGUGUGUGUAUGUUAGUGUGUGUGUGUGGAUGUCUGUUAGUGUGUGUAUGUUAGUGUGUGUCUGUUAGUGUGUGUAUGUUAGUGUUAGUGUGUGUGUCUGUUAGUGUGUGUAUGUUAGUGUUAGUGUGUAUGUUAAUGUUAGUGUAUGUAUGUUAGUGUUAGUGUGUGUGUGUCUGUUAGUGUGGAUGUCUGUUAGUGUGGAUGUCUGUUAGUGUGUG
Molecule: non-coding RNA, 380 nt
Organism: Pelobates cultripes (western spadefoot toad)
Lineage: Eukaryota; Metazoa; Chordata; Amphibia; Anura; Pelobatidae
Source: the annotation of a GenBank genome assembly